RNAcentral lists this ribosomal RNA (915 nucleotides) under uncultured archaeon. RNAcentral describes it as "SSU rRNA". It matches the Rfam family "Archaeal small subunit ribosomal RNA", at positions 1 to 922 of the family's 1478-position model. The record is from RNAcentral.
UUUCCGGUUGAUCCUGCCGGACCUGACUGCUAUCGGAUUGAUACUAAGCCAUGCGAGUCUUUGUAGUAAUACAAGGCAUACGGCUCAGUAACGCGUAGUCAACCUACCCUAUGGACAAGAAUAAUCUCGGGAAACUGAGCAUAAUUCUUGAUAGAUCAUAAUGCCUGGAAUGGUUUAUGGUUAAAAUGAUUCGUCGCCAUAGGAUGGGACUGCGGCCUAUCAGCUUGUUGGUGAGGUAAUGGCCCACCAAGGCGAUAACAGGUACGGGCUCUGAGAGGAGAAGCCCGGAGAUGGGUACUGAGACAAGGACCCAGGCCCUAUGGGGCGCAGCAGGCGAGAAAACUUUGCAAUGUGCGAAAGCACGACAAGGUUAGUCCGAGUGAUUUCUGCUAAAGAGAUCUUUUGCUAGUCAUAAAACCACUAGUGAAUAAGGGGUGGGCAAGUUCUGGUGUCAGCCGCCGCGGUAAAACCAGCACCUCAAGUGGUCAGGAUGAUUAUUGGGCCUAAAGCAUCCGUAGCCGGCUCUGUAAGUUUUCGGUUAAAUCUAUGCGCUCAACGUAUGGGCUGCCGAAAAUACUGCAGAGAUAGGGAGUGGGAGAGGUAGACGGUACUCGGUAGGAAGGGGUAAAAUCCUUUGAUCUAUCGAUGACCACCUGUGGCGAAGGCGGUCUACCAGAACACGUUCGACGGUGAGGGAUGAAAGCUGGGGGAGCAAACCGGAUUAGAUACCCGGGUAGUCCCAGCUGUAAACGAUGCAGACUCGAUGAUGCAUUGGCAUAUAGCCAGUGCAGUGUCGCAGGGAAGCCGUUAAGUCUGCCGCCUGGGAAGUACGUACGCAAGUAUGAAACUUAAAGGAAUUGGCGGGAGAGCACCACAAGGGGUGAAGCCUGCGGUUCAAUUGGAGUCAACGCCGGG